Molecule: ribosomal RNA, 512 nt
Filed under: uncultured bacterium
Lineage: Bacteria
Description: partial 16S ribosomal RNA
Rfam family: Bacterial small subunit ribosomal RNA
Source: RNAcentral
GAUGAACGCUGGCGGCAUGCCUAAUACAUGCAAGUCGAACGAGAGGAAGGAAAGCUUGCUUUUCUGAAUCUAGUGGCGAACGGGUGAGUAACACGUAGGUAACCUGCCCAUGUGCCCGGGAUAACUUCUGGAAACGGAUGCUAAAACCGGAUAGGUAGCAGACAAGCAUUUGACUGCUAUUAAAGUGGCUAAGGCCAUGAACAUGGAUGGACCUGCGGUGCAUUAGCUAGUUGGUGAGGUAACGGCCCACCAAGGCGACGAUGCAUAGCAGGCCUUAGAGGGGGGACGGCCACAUUGGGACUGAGACACGGCCCAAACUCCUACGGGAGGAAGCAGUAGGGAAUUUUCGUCAAUGGGGGGAACCCUGAACGAGCAAUGCCGCGUGAGUGAGGAAGUUCUUCGGAUCGUAAAGCUCUGUUGUAAGAGAAAAACGACAUUCAUAGGGAAUGAUGAGUGAGUGAUGGUAUCUUACCAGAAAGUCACGGCUAACUACGUGCCAGCAGCCGCCGUAA